ACAUGUAACUUACUCCAGAGACGCACUAACUUGCACAGCAUUGAAUGGAAAAGGCUUUGUCCAUGACCAGUUGAGGGGCAUCAAGAACAUGCAGAUGGCCUAAACCUGUGUCAGCCUGGACAGACUGCAGUUCUGCUACUCCAUGCCAAGGCUUUUGUUUUCUGGAAGCUCCAUUUGAGGGCAUCAAGGACAUACUGAUGGCCUAAACCAGUGUCAGCCUAGACAGACAGACAUCUAUUGCAGUUCUGCUACACAAGACCAAACUCUCUGCUUUUGUAUGGAUGUCUG
Non-coding RNA from Danio rerio (zebrafish), 288 nucleotides. NCBI's taxonomy places the organism in Eukaryota, Metazoa, Chordata, Actinopteri, Cypriniformes, Danionidae. The record is from Ensembl.